UCAGGGAGAGCAGCCUCUCCUUCACUUGCCCCACCCUGACCGUCUCUCGCAAUCAACGAAGCAGCCUCUCUCUCCUCGCGGAGGUGAUGCCGAUUCAGCAACGAGGACUCGCUGAGGCGUAUCCAUGUUCUCCGUAUCCGUCAUGGCUUCACGAUGAAUCAUCUCAAAGUCAGAGGGAGAAUUCAACUCGACGACACGAGCAGGACUCGAUUCGGUCGCUCUCACCGUAGCCUUCCCUUUCUGUGCCCUGGAAAUCCUACCGCUACCGCCCGACGACAUUCUCAAAGGACUAAGACUACAAAGUUAGAGAGAGAAGCGGAAAGCAAGAGAGAGAAAGUACCUGAACCGGAUGAAGAGUGGAGAAAAUGAGACGCGAGGGGGUAUUUAUAAGGGAAGGAGCGCAUCACACCCCGAGGGGUCAUCAUUAGGCCUAGAUGGGCCUAGACCAGCCCAUUUGGGCGCGUGAAGCUCACCACGACUCGCGACGUUUCAACUUCUCAAGGAAAACCAAGACCGGUUUGAAUCGAGACCAACAGUCAAAAUCAAAACCGGAAGAAACCGCCGGUCCAAUUCGAAUCAGUCAAAUCAUGGAGGGAUAAUAAACGAGGUGCUCACACAGUCGAGGAAUCGAGUGAGAUAAUAAACCUAGAAUGAUUGUCCUGUAAACCCUACUUCCAAAUUCGCUGAGUCGGCUACGCUAUUCACCAGCGAACUGGGGGGACUUACUAUUGGGUAUGGGCUUGGCCCUCCCAAAAGGCCCAC
RNAcentral lists this long non-coding RNA (762 nucleotides) under Brassica napus (rape). RNAcentral describes it as "long non-coding RNA (BNAP_LNC010760)". Lineage: Eukaryota; Viridiplantae; Streptophyta; Magnoliopsida; Brassicales; Brassicaceae. The record is from RNAcentral.